AGAUGCCAGGGGCACAAGUCUGAAACCACAGUGUGCUUGCACGUGAGAGGUUUUAUGAUAUAGUGCCCCGCUCCGAAUAUGGGCAUAAAAGUGGAUCGUAAGCUUCACGAUAUGCGAAUGUAGGGCAGAAUUGUGGGAGUACGAAGUACGAAACAAUUUGUAUGGCAUUU
Molecule: small RNA, 170 nt
Organism: Dorea sp. CAG:105
Lineage: Bacteria; Bacillati; Bacillota; Clostridia; Lachnospirales; Lachnospiraceae
Rfam family: Clostridiales-1 RNA
Source: Rfam